This is a long non-coding RNA of Micropterus salmoides (largemouth bass), 735 nucleotides long. RefSeq lists it as uncharacterized. The record is from RefSeq and is a predicted model, not a curated record. The transcript is spliced from 4 exons. NCBI's taxonomy places the organism in Eukaryota, Metazoa, Chordata, Actinopteri, Centrarchiformes, Centrarchidae.
AAUCAUGACUGGACAGGCAAAGAGGACACAUGGAGGGACCAGUACCAGAUUAUGUAAAACUCCAGCAGCACAGAGCAGCUCCACAUUCCUGUGUUCCAGCAUUGUAAAUCCGUUUCAGAUUGUAAAAGAGAUCAUGUGACCUGGGAUUUACCAGGUGAUCAUCAACGUCAGAAAAAACAAGAAACUUUCUGCUGACUUGGACCCUGUGAGACCUUCUGGUAAAAGGUCUGAAACCUAUCAUGGAAACCACAAAAAACAUUUUAACCAGCUGUAAGUAACCAUCAUCUACUGUACACAAAAUUUACAAGAUGAAGUUGUAUAUAUUUAGAGUUCCAAGCAAACCCGUUUUCACUCCCUGACUCCUCACAUAUGGUCAAGAGCCAUCGUCAUCAGUUUGUAAUGCAGUAAUGGAUCCCUUUACAGUCAUAGUUCAACGCAGUGGGGGAAGCCCUGUAGCGUCAGUUUUUGAUGGCAAAGGUGAUAUACAGAAAAGAGAGAGUAAGAGGUAGUUGGGGUGGAUGGAGGGCCUUGUGUCCUGUGUGAAACAAAAAGUCAACAUUAAAUUUUUUUGUUUAAGUUAGGCAAAGUUACGUAAAUUGACAUUAGUUAACUUAGGCUGUGCGUUAACUGAUGUACGUAGUUAUUUUAACCCAAACCAUGAGCUUUUCCUAACCUUGACCAAGUAGUUUUGUUGCCUAAACCCAACAAAGUACUUUUUGUGCCUAAACCUAACCA